GACAGAGGGUGCAAACGUUGUUCGGAAUUACUGGGCGUAAAGCGCGUGUAGGCGGCCCUGCAAGUCGGGUGUGAAAUCCCAUGGCUCAACCAUGGAAGUGCACUCGAAACUGCAGGGCUAGAGUCCUGGAGAGGAAGGUGGAAUGCUUGGUGUAGAGGUGAAAUUCGUAGAUAUCAAGCGGAACACCGGUGGCGAAGGCGGCCUUCUGGACAGUGACUGACGCUGAGACGCGAAAGCGUGGGGAGCGAACGGG
Molecule: ribosomal RNA, 253 nt
Filed under: uncultured bacterium
Lineage: Bacteria
Description: partial 16S ribosomal RNA
Rfam family: Bacterial small subunit ribosomal RNA
Source: RNAcentral